UACGUAGGGUGCAAGCGUUGUCCGGAUUUACUGGGCGUAAAGAGCGCGCAGGCGGCUGGUCAAGUCCGAUGUGAAAUCUCCCGGCUCAACUGGGAAACUGCAUCGGAAACUGAUUGGCUUGAAGAUGGGAGAGGGUAGUGGAAUUCCCGGUGUAGUGGUGAAAUGCGUAGAUAUCGGGAGGAACACCAGUGGCGAAGGCGACUACCUGGCCCAUUCUUGACGCUGAGGCGCGAAAGCUAGGGGAGCGAACGGG
RNAcentral lists this ribosomal RNA (253 nucleotides) under uncultured bacterium. RNAcentral's name for it is "partial 16S ribosomal RNA". It matches the Rfam family "Bacterial small subunit ribosomal RNA", at positions 524 to 776 of the family's 1533-position model. The record is from RNAcentral.